Long non-coding RNA from Amphibalanus amphitrite, 534 nucleotides. RefSeq lists it as uncharacterized. The record is from RefSeq and is a predicted model, not a curated record. The transcript has 3 exons. NCBI's taxonomy places the organism in Eukaryota, Metazoa, Arthropoda, Thecostraca, Balanomorpha, Balanidae.
GAUUUGGUGAUAUUAGGCAAGGUAUUAGGCAUUUUUCAGUCACACCAUUCCCGUGGUAUUAUGGGGUUCAUUGCUGGCAGUGGUUCAGGAGACAGUGGUUCGAUCCAGCUGUAGAACGUCACCUGCAGGAAGUAGCAUUGUGAUGGCCAGCCACGUGGCGCGUGUAUCCAGCCACAUUGUCCAGAAACCAUCACAUCAUCUCCAGGUCACUGGUCGCGGGUGCUCGAGUUGACUGUGUCUUCAACGGCUCCACGGUGACCAGCGCCGCCACCGCCGAGACCAUCCGAUUCCUGAAAUGAUAAUGGCCGUACACGAACAAGAGGCUCUAUGCAUCCAGAUGCAAGUCAAGCGCCAUGCUCAGAGGCGUCAUCCGGAGAAGGCCGCACAGUGCACUUUAGGCUGAGCUCGGGUGUAGUGCGCGCUGACGGAUAGGAUGAAAUUACGGGCCGGCCAUCAGAUUUCAGUGCGGGGAUGAAGAUGGUCGGAGCCGACGUGGCUCGGUUGAUGGUGUGCCAGGAGGGCUGUUCACGGGCC